GGAAGGCUACGGGUGGCCUCCAGGUCUCCUUGGAAGAUACACCUUUAAAUUCCAACGAGCUAAAGCCAUUUUACACAGUAUGCUGGAUGAAUGCAUGUUCAGAUGUUAAGAUCCACAGAUGAAAGGGACUAGGUCUCCUUAACCGUAUCUGGGGCAGUGGAAAGAAGCCAUUCACAGAAAUUUAGCUUUUAGAGAAAUAGCAACUCCUGUGUUGGGCAUUUGUAAAGUUUACAGGAGCAUCAUGACCUGACCUAUGAGGAGAGCUGCAAGAACAAUGGAGUGGGACACUGAGAGAAGCAACAACCAGCUACACCGCCUCCCAUCUAGUAGAAAAGAAGCCUGACCUCUAACUCA
This is a long non-coding RNA of Bubalus bubalis (water buffalo), 354 nucleotides long. RefSeq lists it as uncharacterized. The record is from RefSeq and is a predicted model, not a curated record. NCBI's taxonomy places the organism in Eukaryota, Metazoa, Chordata, Mammalia, Artiodactyla, Bovidae. The transcript is spliced from 3 exons.